RNAcentral lists this ribosomal RNA (253 nucleotides) under uncultured bacterium. Its description in RNAcentral is "partial 16S ribosomal RNA". It matches the Rfam family "Bacterial small subunit ribosomal RNA", at positions 524 to 776 of the family's 1533-position model. The record is from RNAcentral.
UACAGAGGGUGCAAGCGUUGCUCGGAAUCAUUGGGCGUAAAGGGCAGGUAGGUGGUCUCAUUUGUCUGGGGUGAAAGCCUUGAGCUUAACUCAAGAAGUGCCCCAGAAACGGUGGGACUGGAGUCUCGGAGAGGGUCGUGGAAUUCCCGGUGUAGCGGUGAAAUGCGUAGAGAUCGGGAGGAACACCAGCGGCGAAGGCGGCGACCUGGACGAGCACUGACACUCAACUGCGAAAGCGUGGGGAGCAAACAGG